Micropterus dolomieu (smallmouth bass) is the source of this 350-nucleotide long non-coding RNA. RefSeq lists it as uncharacterized. The transcript has 3 exons. The record is from RefSeq and is a predicted model, not a curated record. Lineage: Eukaryota; Metazoa; Chordata; Actinopteri; Centrarchiformes; Centrarchidae.
AACACAGACAGAUGGGAGGUGGAAGGAAGCCCCAGGGGAAAGGCCUUAUGUCUCAGUUUCACUGUGACAAUGGAGCACGUGCGCUUGGGCCUCACAGUAUUUUAACGGAUGAAGAGGUUUUCUUGGCAGUCUUCUGCUGUGAGAGGGGCCCAAGUAACCCUGGCGCCUGGCAGUUGCAUCAUUCAAACAGGAACAGGAAAAUACUGAAGAUUCCGGAAUUAAAAGUGAGCAGCAAUUUCAUCUGGAUUUGACCCGAGUGACCCUUCUACUUAGGCUGAGAUAUUAGUCUCACAUUCCUGUGAGAGAGAACCAGCAGCUUAUUAAAAACAACCCUUCAUUACCAUAAGACA